UGCAAUUUGGAUUACCCUUCGCUUUGGAUUUGGAUUAACCUUCGCUCUCGCAAUAGAGGAUUACCAAUUUGGAUUACAGGACUACCCUCUGCAGCGCCUUUGAAUGGAUAAACAAAGUGCAUGUCCUACAUGGAUUACAGCCGUAUAGCGCAUCAUAAAAGAGUUUCAAAAUCAAAAUUGAGGAAUACCAAUUAGAGGAUAAGGAUAUUUAAGGAUCAACAAAAAAAAAAACAAAAAAAACACCAAAUCAAUAGACGGUUAUUUUGGCCAAGAAAAAGCAACAAACAGAGGAACAGAGGAACAGAGAGCGGAAAAACAAAACGCGGGAAAUCAUUUUAUACCUCACACCACUACACACGUAACGUAACGUCACGUAACGUAACGCAACGUAACUGUACAUUGUACUUAAGUGUUCAAAAAGGAAGGGUUAAUUAGUUUACUUUGUAUAUAAGGAAAAGUAGCUAAAAGCACAAGGAA
Long non-coding RNA from Drosophila pseudoobscura, 477 nucleotides. RefSeq lists it as uncharacterized. Lineage: Eukaryota; Metazoa; Arthropoda; Insecta; Diptera; Drosophilidae. The record is from RefSeq and is a predicted model, not a curated record. The transcript has 3 exons.